CGGAGGGUGCAAGCGUUAUCCGGAUUCACUGGGUUUAAAAGGGUGCGUAGGCGGGCAUGUAAGUCAGUGGUGAAAUCUUUGGGCUUAACCCGAAAACUGCCAUUGAUACUAUAUGUCUUGAAUAUUGUGGAGGCUAGCGGAAUAUGUCAUGUAGCGGUGAAAUGCUUAGAGAUGACAUAGAACACCUAUUGCGAAGGCAGCUGGCUACGCAUAUAUUGACGCUGAGGUACGAAAGCGUGGGGAUCAAACAGGAUUAGAUACCCUGGUAGUCCACGCCCUAAACGAUGGAUACUCGACAUACGCGAUACACAGUGUGUGUCUGAGCGAAAGCAUAAGUAUCCCACCUGGGAAGUACGACCGCAAGGUUG
This 368-nucleotide ribosomal RNA is filed under the name uncultured organism. Its description in RNAcentral is "bacterial SSU rRNA". It matches the Rfam family "Bacterial small subunit ribosomal RNA", at positions 526 to 896 of the family's 1533-position model. The record is from RNAcentral.